UGCAAGUCGAGUGCGCGUGCCGUAGCAAUACGGUAUGGCGCACGGCGCACGGGUGCGUAACACGUGGGCAAUCUGCCCUCCGGUGGGGAAUAACCCCGCGAAAGCGGGGCUAAUUCCGCAUAACAUUCCCUGGACUCUGGUUCGGGGAUUCAAAGCAGCAAUGCGCCGGAGGAGGAGCCCGCGCCCGAUUAGCUAGUUGGUGAGGUGACGGCUCACCAAGGCAAUGAUCGGUAGCUGGUCUGAGAGGAUGGCCAGCCACACUGGAACUGAGACACGGUCCAGACUCCUACGGGAGGCAGCAGUGGGGAAUCUUGCGCAAUGGGCGAAAGCCUGACGCAGCGACGCCGCGUGGGGGAUGAAGCUUCUCGGAGUGUAAACCCCUUUCGACCGGGACGAAUGCCCGCAAGGGAGUGACGGUACCGGUAGAAGAAGCCCCGGCUAACUACGUGCCAGCAGCCGCGGUAAGACGUAGGGGGCCAGCGUUGUUCGGAAUUACUGGGUGUAAAGGGUUCGUAGGCGGUGUGGCAAGUCGGGAGUGAAAUUUCUGGGCUUAACCCAGAAGCUGCUUCCGAAACUGCUGUGCUAGAGUGCGGGAGAGGCGCGUGGAAUUGCAGGUGUAGCGGUGAAAUGCGUAGAUAUCUGCAGGAACACCCGUGGCGAAAGCGGCGCGCUGGACCGUUACUGACGCUGAGGAACGAAAGCUAGGGGAGCA
Molecule: ribosomal RNA, 712 nt
Filed under: uncultured delta proteobacterium
Lineage: Bacteria; Deltaproteobacteria
Description: bacterial SSU rRNA
Rfam family: Bacterial small subunit ribosomal RNA
Source: RNAcentral